Molecule: ribosomal RNA, 495 nt
Filed under: uncultured bacterium
Lineage: Bacteria
Description: partial 16S ribosomal RNA
Rfam family: Bacterial small subunit ribosomal RNA
Source: RNAcentral
GAUGAACGCUGGCGGCGUGCUUAACACAUGCAAGUCGAGCGAAGCACUUAAGUCCGAUUCUUCGGAUGAAGACUUUUGUGACUGAGCGGCGGACGGGUGAGUAACGCGUGGGUAACCUGCCUCAUACAGGGGGAUAACAGUUAGAAAUGGCUGCUAAUACCGCAUAAGACCACAGUACUGCAUGGUACAGUGGUAAAAACUCCGGUGGUAUGAGAUGGACCCGCGUCUGAUUAGGUAGUUGGUGAGGUAACGGCCCACCAAGCCGACGAUCAGUAGCCGAACUGGGAGGGUGACCGGCCACAUUGGGACUGAGACACGGCCCAGACUCCUACGGGAGGCAGCAGUGGGGAAUAUUGCACAAUGGGCGAAAGCCUGAUGCAGCGACGCCGCGUGAAGGAUGAAGUGUUUCGGCAUGUAAAGCUCUAUCAGCAGGGAAGAAAAUGACGGUACCUGACUAAGAAGCCCCGGCUAACUACGUGCCAGCCGCCGCCGUAA